Molecule: long non-coding RNA, 1404 nt
Filed under: Anser cygnoides (Swan goose)
Lineage: Eukaryota; Metazoa; Chordata; Aves; Anseriformes; Anatidae
Description: lncRNA (ENSACDG00005014350.1)
Source: RNAcentral
GGCCGCCACCGCCCCUCACCAUGGUUCCGCCGCCCGAAUCCGCGCUGGAGCCGCCUCAGGAGCCGCCAGACAAUGACCCGCCCGAGCGCGACGCCCGCCGCCGAGACCCCCGCAGCCAAUCACGGCGCGCCGUGCUUAUUUGAACGGCCCGCUCGGACCAAUCGGCGAGCGGCUUCUUGCUACCCCCUCCCGACCAGCUCCCUCUGCUGGCCCCGCCCCUCGACCCGUUUAACGGCCGGUGGGGUUUUUUUUUUUUAGGUUUGCACACGGCACGCAGGGCUGAGGGGAGGGGGCGGCGCGGGGGAGUGACGUGUCGAAGAGCCAAUAGAAAGAGCCGAUCCGGCUGAGGGAGGCGGGGUUGGGAGAAUAGACAUGCGGCGGAGCCAAUGAGAGGGGAGAAGAGGCUUUCCCGCCCAUUCUCUCUCCCCGCCCCCCGGGUUGUUUGUUUGGGGGGGGGGGAGAAGGCGGCUGAGGGGCCCUGAGGGGAACCGGGGACGGGCACCGGGGACGGCCUCUGGAGGGCCCCCGGUUGUGAUCCAGGCCCCGUGGCCGUCGUCUGUCCGCCCGCCCGUCCCCCUGAGAGGCCCCAGCGCCGCCCCCGUGAGGAGAGGCCGCGGCUCCCAGCCCGGCCUGAGGGGAAUUCACCCCCGGGACGCCGAGGGGGCGCCCUUGUGUGGUGUUUUUUUUAUUUUUUUUCGCAGGAAAUUCCCCCAAUAAAGGCCGGUGUUGCCCUAAAGGGGAGCACGGUGGGGCUGGGGUGGCCCCGGUGCCCCCCCCGGUGCGGGUUUCGGUCGGGGCUGGGGGGCUGAGGGGCGGCUUUUCGCCCAGGGGCUCGGAGGGGAAGGUCGCUGCUAACGGCUGGGAUCAAAUAGUGUGGAAAAAGCCCCAAAAUUCCUCCCAGGAGCCGCUGCAGGUCAUUGGGGCGGCUGUGAUGGAAAAAAAGAAAAAUGGAAAGAGGCAAAAAUCCCCCAUGGAAAGAGCUGCGGAGCCGGACCUGCCCUCACGAGAGGGGGCGCCCCGGCUGCCUCCCCAGGACGUGCAGGACAGACGCUGCCAGGGAGGAGGCGAUGGAGGAGAGACUGUAAAACUCCAUUUGCAAAAAUCUGCUACGGUAAGGAGUGCUCGCUAGCAUGAGGAGUUCGUCACGUCGGGCGUCAUCUUUGCUAGUGGUAAAUCCAGGACCUGCCUUCGGCAACCGCCGGCCGCUCCCCGGCGCCUCCCGAAGCCGCCCCGCCGGCCGCAGAGGAAGGGAAUGAGAAUCGGCCCCGCUGCCGUGGGAGAGGGGGACGGGGCCCCUCCGGGCGCCGGCAGCCCCGCGCUGGGCCGCGUAAAGUGCAUGGUUUGCUUUAGUUUUUUUUUCUUUCAUUAAAAAAAUAAGAGGAAUAAAACUUUCUUCUUUCGUCA